RNAcentral lists this ribosomal RNA (556 nucleotides) under uncultured soil bacterium. Its description in RNAcentral is "bacterial SSU rRNA". It matches the Rfam family "Bacterial small subunit ribosomal RNA", at positions 28 to 578 of the family's 1533-position model. The record is from RNAcentral.
AUUGAACGCUGGCGGCAUGCCUUACACAUGCAAGUCGAACGGCAGCACGGGGGCAACCCUGGUGGCGAGUGGCGAACGGGUGAGUAAUAUAUCGGAACGUACCCUGAGUGGGGGAUAACGUAGCGAAAGUUACGCUAAUACCGCAUACGAUCUACGGAUGAAAGUGGGGGCUCGCAAGACCUCAUGCUCGUGGAGCGGCCGAUAUCUGAUUAGCUAGUUGGUGGGGUAAAGGCCUACCAAGGCGACGAUCAGUAGCUGGUCUGAGAGGACGACCAGCCACACUGGGACUGAGACACGGCCCAGACUCCUACGGGAGGCAGCAGUGGGGAAUUUUGGACAAUGGGGGCAACCCUGAUCCAGCAAUGCCGCGUGAGUGAAGAAGGCCUUCGGGUUGUAAGGCUCUUUUGUCAGGGAAGAACACGGUGAAGGCGAAUACCCUUUGCUAAUGACGGUACCUGAAGAAUAAGCACCGGCUAACCUACGUGCCAGCAGCCGCGGUAAUACGUAGGGUGCAAGCGUUAAUCGGAAUUACUGGGCGUAAAGCGUGCGCAGGCGG